This is a long non-coding RNA of Heterocephalus glaber (naked mole-rat), 1277 nucleotides long. The record is from Ensembl. Lineage: Eukaryota; Metazoa; Chordata; Mammalia; Rodentia; Bathyergidae.
CUAGCUAAACUAUCAGUCCUUACAAGUACAUGCUGCCGCUUUGAAAAACAAAAUACUCUUUCCACUAGGGAACUAAAAAGGGAAAUAUUUCAGGGAGAAAAAAAGUAAAUCUCAUAGUAAGGAACAGAAUGCACAAACAGAUGUAGAUAUGAUCAAGUUUGUAGUUUUAGUUGUCUUAUAUAAGUUUGGUUAGAAUCGUAACAACAAUAAGUCAUCUCAAAGGUAUCCUAAAGUGAAUAUGGACAGGCGUCUCUAUUGAAGAUCCUGAGAAGAGUAGAAGCUCCCCCUGAUGUAUCCUGCUCCAGAAAAUAUCUUGCCAUUAGAACUUUUGAAAGAUUUUUUUUUCUGACCAAUUUGCUACAAUUUCCUCCAUGGGCCUUAAAAUCCUCCCUCCUUUCAACUGUGUCUUCCAUCCAUGGUACGGAGCUGUUAGUUUUCCACAUGAACUUCAAAAAUCUAUCCAUCAGCUUCUACUCAGCGGACUGUAUUCUGGAUAAAUCAGCUUGACGCCUCAAUCAUUCCCCAAAUUCAUCUGAUCAAUACAAGUGACUCUCAACAACAAAUCAACGUUUUUAGUAUCUGUAUAUAUUUAGCAGCUAACUAUGGAAAACUCAUAAGGAGACAAUGUUGUCAAAGUAAAAUGAUUUCUGGAAAAGUGACUGAAGGUACCUGAAUCCAGGAAGAAUGUAGCAUGUACAAAUUAAUAAAGGUAAUGAAUAGCCUGUGAAUAUUGUUACCACAUCAGCAUUAGGAAGAAAGCCAGACACAAAACAGAAGAGGUUAAGGAGAACUCCACAAAGCCUACAAAGACUGCCUUGCUGCUCUAUCUUAUAAUUAGAUUUCAAGCCAAAGAGUUUGAAUCUGGGAAACUGCAUAAAAACACUUUAUGUCAAAAAAUAUGAAGCGUUUCCAAUGCAACAUACAAAGUGUGGUGUCAUAUAUCCGUAAUUCCUACAUCCUGGGAGGCUGAGGCAGAAAAAUCACAAGGUCAAGCCCAGCCUGGACAACUCAGAAACUCGGACACCACAUGCUGAUGACCGAUCAUCCUUCGCUCACCAGCCAGGAGACCACUGCAGAGGCCCCUCUGCCUCCCGGCUAGAGCUUGGGACAAACCAACCUGGGUGGGUGAAGUUUAUUAGGAAGAAAUUUCCCCCGGAAGUCUCAAUUCUAUGGUGAGACCCCAACUUCCUGCACUCUAGCCUGGGUGUUAGCAAGUAGUCUGUCUUUCAAAGUGUCCCUAACGCAAGCGUCGGAAAACUACCAUCAGCAGACCAAAC